Long non-coding RNA from Diospyros lotus (date-plum), 1363 nucleotides. RefSeq lists it as uncharacterized. The transcript is spliced from 3 exons. The record is from RefSeq and is a predicted model, not a curated record. NCBI's taxonomy places the organism in Eukaryota, Viridiplantae, Streptophyta, Magnoliopsida, Ericales, Ebenaceae.
GCCAUUUCAAAAUUUGAAAUCAACUAAGAGAGAAAGAGAGAGGGAGAGUGAGGGCUGAGAGCCUUCGUGAGAUUGCUCGGGAGAGCAGCCGAGAGUGAGGGAUAGAGAGUUUGAGAGUGUGAGGACCGAUCGGCCAUGGCAGCAACUGCCAUGGCCGAUGAUAGAAGCAGGUUGCAGCAGGCCAGGGGCGGUUUCGGGUGGAGCUUCGAGCAGCACGGAGGCAGCCUAAAGUCGACAGCAACGGCAGCUAGAAGCAAGGUCGAUGCUAGGUGCGUUGGAGGUUGGCGAUGGCAGCCAUGGCAGCUCAAAUAGUGUGCUAGGCAGAGCUGGAGUGGCCGCGAGGUAGCUGGCGAGCUCGGUAGGGGCCGAUGUGGCUGCUGGCUAGGCCGGAUGCGACUUGGGUGGCCAAACCGCAAGCUCCCAAGGUCGGCCAUGGCGGAUGCGAGUUGCAGCGCGCAAGGGAGCUGCCAGCCGUGUGUUGCUGCAAUGGAGGCAGCCCGCAAGGAGGGCCACGAUGCAGUCGGUGGCCGCCGAGGACGGUGCUACGAGCAACGAAGGGCGGCACAACAAGGCGGCGGUGGCUGCUUGUGCGCAGCCGUGCGCGAAGAAGGAAGAAGAGCAGUUGCGCGGGAAUGCGAAGGAGGAAGAAGAUGAACAGGGGAAGGGAAAAGAAAAUAAAGAGAAAAAGAAAAAUAAAAGAAAAGAAAAAAAUGAAAAUUUUGGAAAAUAAGGGAAAAAUGGAGAAAAAUCCCGAAAAAAUUCCAGAAAAAGUGGGGAAAGUUCUGGAAAUUAAUUUGGGGCCCGAGGAGCGUGUUGGAGGCCGAGAAUGGGAUUUGGGCCCAAGAUUUGCAGCUCAAGAGGCAAUGCCGGGUGAGCGUUUUCCCGAUGUCUUCUCCAGAAUUAAUUGAGGUUCGACCGGGGAAGACAGUGAUUCAAGAAGAACUUGAGAUUCACGCUGGAGUUCGUGCCGAGGCAAAGUUGAAGCUUCGAGCUAGAUAUUGCAAGUCCAGAGGCAAGCAGGGAUGGCGCCGGGAAGCUGUUGUGGCAAUUAAAUUUGUUGCUUGAGAUGUGUUGUUGUGUAUUCCCUUGUAAAUUUUUAUACGUAUUCAUGUAAUUAAGUGUAAGCGAUAUUGAGCAUUAGAUGUAUUUAAUUGUGAUAAUCAUCAUAGUGUGAUAAAUGAUUGUGAGAUGGUUCUUUGGAUAUGGCUUAGUCGGCCAAGAUGAGUUUCGGACCAAGUAAAGAUCAGCAAGGUACGUUCUCAUAAAUUCCCAGUACUCAGCGAAGUGUUUGUAUGCUAGCUUGUGCCUGGGUCACCUCUGGCUUGCUAUGGGGCGAGCUAAAGAGAGAUGAAGCUCACUUGGG